Aethalodelphis obliquidens (Pacific white-sided dolphin) is the source of this 620-nucleotide long non-coding RNA. RefSeq lists it as uncharacterized. Lineage: Eukaryota; Metazoa; Chordata; Mammalia; Artiodactyla; Delphinidae. The record is from RefSeq and is a predicted model, not a curated record. The transcript is spliced from 3 exons.
GUUACUUGGAACUGGAACUCAGACAGAGCGAGUAAAAGACAGCAUCAGAUGCUGGCCCCGAGAGAUCUCGAAGAGGGGCAGCCCUUCGGGGCAUGUGUGCUGCUCUUCAAGGAGGGGAGGUUGUCUGCAGGGAGAAGAGAGCGGAAGUCCAAGGGGCCAAGGGAGGGAGAUCAGGUUUUCCUUAUUUUUUGCCAGGUUUUCUGCUUCUGAUCCCUCAUGAAGCUUUGGUCAUAAGGUACCUCUCUAUCCCUUUACUUCGAGAAAGCUCCACAUGUCAGGACAAGUGCUUUGGAGGAAAAGCAAGACUUCAUCCAGUCGUCAGUAGAAAACCUUGGUGGCUGCAGUUCCUGUGACUUACAAAAAGGAUACACAGGAGAAGAGGGUAUUAACAUGAUACAGCUCACAUGGUGGAGAAGUGAGGUCUCCUGCCAUCAGCAUGUGAGGGAGCCACCUUGGAAGCAGCCCUUCCAGCCUUCGGCUGAAGGUGACCCCACCUGAAGGCUGACACACUCACUGCUACCUCGAGAGACCCUGAGCCACCCAGAGACCCUGUUCUCAAAUUCUUCAACCGUGAGAAAAUAAAUGUUUGUUAUUGUAAGGCACUAAAAAAAUAAAAUAAA